This 98-nucleotide ribosomal RNA is filed under the name uncultured bacterium. RNAcentral describes it as "partial 16S ribosomal RNA". It matches the Rfam family "Bacterial small subunit ribosomal RNA", at positions 1386 to 1482 of the family's 1533-position model. The record is from RNAcentral.
CACACUGCCCGUCACGCCAUGGAAGUUGGUUUUACCUUAAGUCGAUAUGCUAACCGCAAGGAGGCGAGUCGCCCACGGUAGUGCCAAUGACUGGGGUG